GAUGAAGAACGCAGCGAAACGCGAUAAGUAAUGUGAAUUGCAGAAUCCAGUGAAUCAUCGAAUCUUUGAACGCACAUUGCGCCCGCCAGCAUUCUGGCGGGCAUGCCUGUUCGAGCGUCAUUUCAACCCUCGACCCCCCCUUGGGGAGGUCGGCGUUGGGGACCGGCAGCACACCGCCGGCCCUGAAAUGGAGUGGCGGCCCGUCCGCGGCGACCUCUGCGCAGUAAUACAGCUCGCACCGGGACCCCGACGCGGCCACGCCGUAAAACACCCAACUUCUGAACGUUGACCUCGAAUCAGGUAGGACUACCCGCUGAACUUAAGCAUAUCAAUAAGCGGAGGA
RNAcentral lists this unclassified non-coding RNA (343 nucleotides) under soil metagenome. RNAcentral describes it as "partial contains 5.8S ribosomal RNA, internal transcribed spacer 2, and large subunit ribosomal RNA". The stretch from base 1 to 120 matches the Rfam family "5.8S ribosomal RNA", at positions 35 to 154 of the family's 154-position model. The record is from RNAcentral.